RNAcentral lists this ribosomal RNA (253 nucleotides) under Eubacterium ventriosum. RNAcentral's name for it is "partial 16S ribosomal RNA". It matches the Rfam family "Bacterial small subunit ribosomal RNA", at positions 524 to 776 of the family's 1533-position model. The record is from RNAcentral. Lineage: Bacteria; Bacillati; Bacillota; Clostridia; Eubacteriales; Eubacteriaceae.
UACGUAUGGGGCAAGCGUUAUCCGGAUUUACUGGGUGUAAAGGGAGCGUAGGCGGCAUGGCAAGUUAGAAGUGAAAGCCUGGGGCUCAACCCCGGAAUUGCUUUUGAAACUGUCAGGCUAGAGUGUCGGAGGGGUAAGCGGAAUUCCUAGUGUAGCGGUGAAAUGCGUAGAUAUUAGGAGGAACACCGGUGGCGAAGGCGGCUUACUGGACGAUUACUGACGCUGAGGCUCGAAAGCGUGGGGAGCAAACAGG